Molecule: ribosomal RNA, 450 nt
Filed under: uncultured bacterium
Lineage: Bacteria
Description: bacterial SSU rRNA
Rfam family: Bacterial small subunit ribosomal RNA
Source: RNAcentral
GUGGGGAAUAUUGGACAAUGGACGAAAGUCUGAUGGUGCAACGCCGCGUGGAGGAUGACGGUCUUCGGAUUGUAAACUCCUGUCAUCCGGGAGUAAGACCUGGCUGUGAAUAGCAGACAGGGUUGAUAGUACCGGAAGAGGAAGGGACGGCUAACUUCGUGCCAGCAGCCGCGGUAAUACGAAGGUCCCGAGCGUUGUUCGGAAUCACUGGGCGUAAAGGGAGCGUAGGCGGCGUGGUAAGUCAGAUGUGAAAUCCCGGGGCUCAAACCCGGAACUGCAUCCGAUACUGCCGUGCUAGAGGAUUGGAGAGGUAGCUGGAAUUCUUGGUGUAGCAGUGAAAUGCGUGGAGAUCAAGAGGAACACUCGUGGCGAAAGCGAGCUACUGGACAAUAUCUGACGCUGAGGCUCGAAGGCCAGGGUAGCGAAAGGGAUUAGAAACCCCAGUAGUCC